UACAGAGGUCUCAAGCGUUGUUCGGAUUCAUUGGGCGUAAAGCGCGCGUAGGCGGCUGCCUAAGUCGGAUGCGAAAGCCCCGGGCUCAACCUGGGAACUGCAUUCGAUACUAGGCGGCUAGAGUAUGAGAGAGGGAGGUAGAAUUCCACGUGUAGCGGUGAAAUGCGUAGAUAUGUGGAGGAAUACCGGUGGCGAAGGCGGCCUCCUGGUUCAAUACUGACGCUGAGGUGCGAAAGCGUGGGGAGCAAACAGG
RNAcentral lists this ribosomal RNA (253 nucleotides) under uncultured bacterium. RNAcentral describes it as "partial 16S ribosomal RNA". It matches the Rfam family "Bacterial small subunit ribosomal RNA", at positions 524 to 776 of the family's 1533-position model. The record is from RNAcentral.